CAGCCGCCGCGGGAAUACAGAGGGUGCGAGCGUUAAUCGGAUUUACUGGGCGUAAAGCGUGCGUAGGCGGCUUCUUAAGUCGGAUGUGAAAUCCCUGAGCUUAACUUAGGAAUUGCAUUCGAUACUGGGAAGCUAGAGUAUGGGAGAGGAUGGUAGAAUUCCAGGUGUAGCGAUGAAAUGCGUAGAGAUCUGGAGGAAUACCGAUGGCGAAGGCAGCCAUCUGGCCUAAUACUGACGCUGAGGUACGAAAGCGUGGGGAGCAAACAGGAUUAGAGACCCCAGUAGUCCCUGUCUCUUAUAC
Molecule: ribosomal RNA, 301 nt
Filed under: uncultured bacterium
Lineage: Bacteria
Description: partial 16S ribosomal RNA
Rfam family: Bacterial small subunit ribosomal RNA
Source: RNAcentral